This 141-nucleotide transfer RNA is filed under the name Citrobacter freundii. Its description in RNAcentral is "tRNA-Lys". It matches the Rfam family "RtT RNA". From Rfam's summary of the family: This family represents a bacterial cis-regulatory element known as RtT RNA. The record is from RNAcentral. Lineage: Bacteria; Pseudomonadati; Pseudomonadota; Gammaproteobacteria; Enterobacterales; Enterobacteriaceae.
GGGUCGUUAGCUCAGUUGGUAGAGCAGUUGACUUUUAAUCAAUUGGUCGCAGGUUCGGUAUUGAGCGCAGCGAAACAACGGAGCCGGUUACGGCGACGGCCCGAAGGGCGAGCGAAGCGAGUCAUCCUGCACGACCCACCA